UAAGGAAUAUUGGUCAAUGGACGCAAGUCUGAACCAGCCAUGCCGCGUGGAGGAUGACGGUCCUCUGGAUUGUAAACUUCUUUUAUUUGGGAAGAAAACCUCUGAUUAUUAGGAGCUUGACGGUACCAGAUGAAUAAGCACCGGCUAACUCCGUGCCAGCAGCCGCGGUAAUACGGAGGGUGCAAGCGUUAUCCGGAUUCACUGGGUUUAAAGGGUGCGUAGGCGGGCUAUUAAGUCAGAGGUGAAAUCUCCGGGCUCAACCUGGAAACUGCCUUUGAUACUAUUAGCCGUGAAUUAUGUUGAGGUUUGCGGAAUAUAACAUGUAGCGGUGAAAUGCCUAGAUAUGUUAUGGAACACUGAUUGCGAAGGCAGCUGGCUAAACAUAUAUUGACGCUGAUGCACGAAAGCGUGGGUAGCGAACA
Molecule: ribosomal RNA, 422 nt
Filed under: uncultured bacterium
Lineage: Bacteria
Description: bacterial SSU rRNA
Rfam family: Bacterial small subunit ribosomal RNA
Source: RNAcentral